AAAAGUUCAAAAUGUAGUUACCAACCUUAAAGAAUUUGAGUCCAUUGAGCACGAACUAUUACAUCCUAGAUUCUUAUGCAGUGUGGUCGGUGGCCAUCAAUAUUUGGAGGUUGGUAGCGUACGAAGAACGACAACCCUUCAGAAAGUCCCUCAAAAGGCAUUCUUUACAGUCUACAAUGCCCCACUCCAAACUCAGAGCGAGCUAUAGAAAUGAGCAAUGCAAUAUUUCUUUUGUGUAUCAUAGCAAGCAGUGGCAUGAAGUUGAAGUACUUGCAGACAUCUGAGCGGAGAGACAAGUUUUGAAUGAAGAGACGAUUUCAUUUACG
RNAcentral lists this unclassified non-coding RNA (326 nucleotides) under Hevea brasiliensis (rubber tree). Lineage: Eukaryota; Viridiplantae; Streptophyta; Magnoliopsida; Malpighiales; Euphorbiaceae. The record is from RNAcentral.